Myodes glareolus (Bank vole) is the source of this 1958-nucleotide non-coding RNA. The record is from RefSeq and is a predicted model, not a curated record. NCBI's taxonomy places the organism in Eukaryota, Metazoa, Chordata, Mammalia, Rodentia, Cricetidae.
AUACUGGGUGCACACAUUAAGGGUGUGCACCACCACUGCCCACUGUCAAAUUUAAUUUUUUAAAAUUAAAUACCUAAGCUGGGCAAAAUGUAUACUGACUUGGUUGCUGGAAAAAGAAUGAAGGAACUUUAUAAAAAGUAAUAGUAGAUUAUAGAAAUAAAAUGAUUCUGAUUUUAGAGUCUGUAGAAAACAAAAUCAGCUGUGGAUUUGCUCAGUGCUUCUUGUUUUAGUUAAUAGUUUUACAUUUCAUGCAUUUGAGUGUUUUGCAUGUACACAUGUGCAAUCCAUCCCAUACCUAGUGCCCAUGGAGGUCAGAAGAGGUAUCAGAACUGGAACUGGCCGAGUGUGUGCUGGGAAGUAAAUCCUGGUUCUCUGUAAGAGCCACAAGUGCUCUUAAUCUCUGAGUUAUCUCUUCAGUCCUGAUAUUUUUAAUUAGUGUUUGUUUUGUGUAAUGGUGCCCUCCAAUACAGUAGGUGAAAGGAGCCGAUUUGCAUGUGCGUGUAUGGAGGUAGUUGAAGGGGUGGGUAUUUGCGUGUGCAUGUAUGGAGGUAGUUGAAGUAGGUGGGUAUUUGUCUACCACCAUCUGGUGGCUAAAAAAACAAUGAUUUUUACAUUUUUAUUUUUAUGCAAAUGAGUGUUUUGCCUGUAUGCACUCUCUGCACCAUGUGAGUGCCUGCCUGGUGCCCCUCGAGGCCAUAAGAGCACUGGAGUCUCAGACAGUUGUGAGCCGCUACAUGGGUGCUGGGAAUUAAACCAGGGUCCUCUGGAAGAGCAGUCAGUGAUCUUAACCUCUGAGUUAUCUCUCCAGCCCACAAUCUUAGCCACUGAGUCAUCUCUCCAGACUCAGCUCACAGCAUCCGUACACAUAGAGGAAAACAAACGAAAAUGCUGGAAGUUGGGAUGUCACCCCUGUAAAACUACAAGGGCUGAACCACAAGUAAGGUAAGUGUGGAGUUCAGAAAUGGGAAAGUUCGGAGCCAGACGGGCAGUUUGCUUCACAGUUAAGGAAAGACUAUUAAGGAUUGGAUUUGGGGCCAGGUGUGGUGGUUUAAUUCCAGCACUCGGGAGGCAGAGGCAGAUCUCUGUCAAUUGAAGGCCAGGCUGGUUGACAGAGCGAGUUCCAGGACAGCCAAGUCUAUUCAGAGAAACUCUGUCUUGAAAAACAAAACAAAAAAAGGAACUGAGCUGGAAAACAGUUGAAUGACGUUUUAAGCAUACCAUACCGUUUAUAGUUCUCAUUUUUCAUUUGCUGACUGAAAAACUACUCAGAAAUUUAAAACAAAUUAUACUCAGGGUUUAACAAAUAACAUGAAAAUAUUGUGGAACAUAUUAAUUUUGUUAAACUUUGAUAUAUCAGAAAGUAUAUUUUAAUACAGAAUAAAUCAUGAAAUAUGAUGCAAUUUUAAUAUGUCAUUUUGUUUGCCUAAACAAAAGAUACUAGUUUUGUCGGAAAUCUAAUUCCUUAAAGUAAUGUUAGAAUUUUAAGAUUAUUCAAUAUUAUUCUUUACCACUUCUCAGUCAGAUCACAGGCAAAGAGGACAUGGAAAUUUGUUUGAAAAACAAAUUUAUGGACUGUUAGGACCUCCUAAGAAUAGGCACACAGAAUAAAUUAUGUCUGGUUCCCAUGAUCCGGCUCCACUUCUGAAAUGUAAGAGGAUUGCUGACUUCCAUCAAGCUGUAUUCUAAAGUCAGUCCCUUGCCUUGUGAGACAUACUAUGUCUAAGAAAAGUAUUCCAAAACUGUGUGCCUCACCCCUCCUAGAGUGGAAAAAGGUAGUCUCACUUACUUGCGGCUUUGCAGAGUGUCCCCUCCACAGAAGAAAUUUCACAGUUUCCUUUUUUCCAUUCGCCUGUCUUGGUAUACAGGAAACCGCAGGUGUCAACUAGGUCCUCGCCAUCUUGAUCUGCCCACUUGUCAAAGGUCAUAUUCGAGUUAUCAAACCACUUGAAACUUGCAUC